RNAcentral lists this ribosomal RNA (440 nucleotides) under uncultured bacterium. RNAcentral's name for it is "partial 16S ribosomal RNA". It matches the Rfam family "Bacterial small subunit ribosomal RNA", at positions 338 to 795 of the family's 1533-position model. The record is from RNAcentral.
CCUACGGGUGGCAGCAGUGGGGAAUAUUGCACAAUGGGGGAAACCCUGAUCCAGCGACGCCGCGUGAGGGAAGAAGUUUUUCGGUAUGUAAACUUCUAUUAACAGGGAAGAAAAUGACGGUACCUGACUAGUAAGCUCCGUCUAACUACGUGCCAGCACCCGCGGUAAUACGUAGGGUGCAGGCGUUAUCCGGAUUGACUGGGUGUAAAGGGAGCGUAGGCGGCGAUGCAAGUCAGAAGUGAAAGCCCGGGGCUCAACUACGGGACUGCUGUUGAAACUGUGUUGCUGGAUUGUAGGAGAGGUAAGCGGAAUUCGUGGUGUAGCGGUGAAAUGCGUAGAUAUUAGGAGGAACACCAGUGGCGAAGGCGGCUUACUGGACUGUAAAUGACGCUGAGGCUCGAAAGCGUGGGGAGCAAACAGGAUUAGAUACCCUAGUAGUC